Molecule: long non-coding RNA, 1312 nt
Filed under: Homo sapiens (human)
Lineage: Eukaryota; Metazoa; Chordata; Mammalia; Primates; Hominidae
Description: HSALNT0127977
Source: RNAcentral
CAGGAUUUCACUGUGUUAGCCAGGAUGGUCUUGAUCUCCCGACCUCAUGAUCCACCUGCCUCGGUCUCCAAGAGUGCUGGGAUUACAGGCUUGAGCCACGGCGACCGGCCUAGAUUAAUUCUUUAUGAAAGUUCAUGAAAGUGUAUUUUUAGCCUCUCACUAAACACUUGCAGGACUGAGAAAUACAUUCUCGAAAGAAGUAACAAUCCAUUUUGAGAUGUGUUCUAGUUAUUGGAAAUUAUUUUAUGUUAAGUUAAAUUUUUCUUCCCCAUCAUUUCCACCUUUUACUCUAGUCCUAUCCUCCAGAACUUCUCAAAAUGAAUCCAGACUUUCCUACACAUAUGAAUCUUUAAAUAAUCAAAAAGAGCUAUCAAGUUCCUCAUACUUUUCUUCUCCAAAUGAAACAUUCUCAGCCCUUGCAGGCAGCUUCUCAUGUCGUGAUUUACAGUGAGCAGCAAUGUUCUCACUGUUUGUACUAGAACAUUCUUCAAUAUGAUUAAAAGACCUCCAAAAGUGAGCUUUCCAGAAGAAAACACAGUACACUAGUGAGGUCUUCCCAGUGCAGAGUAGAGAAGCCCCAUCCUAACCUCACUUCUAUUAAUGCAAGAGCACAGGACACCAUUGGCUUGUAUUGAGCUUAUUAACAGUGAAAGCUAAAAUCCUCUCACUAGUUAAUGUGAAUUAGUAUGUUAACAAGCAGUGGCAUUGUCUAGCAAACAAGCAAAAUUUGUAUGUAAAUACUAUGAAGUUCCUAGAUAUCCUUUUGGGAAAUAAACAUAGUAUAACUCAAUCAAUAAAUAAUGGGGAUUAGAUUUUCUUAUUCCCACUUUAUAAAUGGGAAAACGAAACACCUUAAAUGACAUGUUCAGACUUAUAACCGAGGAGCAACAAAAAUUAGCCUAGAGCUACCCAAGCCUGAUGCAUUGCAUAUUGUGCUAUACCAUGCUACCCUCUAACCCCAAAUUCCAGUGAAACAGCUGAUGCCAACCAGUCUGAAGACCUCUUUACAGAGGAAAAAAUCAGCAUGAGAAAACAGUUUCUUCAGCCUUCUAUCCUAUGACUUCACCCUACUCUUCAACCAAUCAAUGAUUUCCACUCUUCAACCAAGUCUAAAACCCCUAAAACCCCUCUCUCCAAACUCCUUGAGGAGAUGGAGUUGAGGUUUCCUCUGUAUCCUCAUCCAGCAUCCCUACAAUUAAUCUUUUCUCUGCUGUUGUCUCUACAUGUUGAUUUCCCAUGUGCUUCAGAAUUUCAGAGCUCAUUCUCAGAAAUUUUAAUUCAAAAUGUCUGCAGCAGGAUCUCCAGACCACAG